AAUAGAUACCCGGGUAGUCCACGCCGUAAACGAUGGGUGCUAGCUGUUAUGCGUAUCGACCCGUGUAGUAGCGAAGCUAACGCGUUAAGCAUCCCGCCUGGGGAGCACGAACGCAAGUUUAAAACUCAAAGGAAUUGACGGGGGACCCGCACAAGCGGUGGAGCGUGUUCUUUAAUUCGAGGCUAAGCGAAGAACCUUACCAGGGCUUGACAUCCUUGGAAUUUCUCCGAAAGGAGAGAGUACUUUAUUGGACCAAGUGACAGGUGCUGCAUGGCCGUCGUCAGCUCGUGUCGUGAGAUGUUUGGUUAAGUCCAUUAACGAGCGCAACCCUUAUGAAUAGUUGUAUUUUUCUAUUCAGACUGCCCCGGUAACGGGGAGGAAGGGGGGAUGAUGUCAGGUCAGUAUUGCCCUUACGCCCUGGGCUAGAAACGCGCUACAAUGGCCGGUACAAUGCGCUGCCAACCCGCGAGGGGGAGCAAAUCGCAUCAAAGCCGGUCCCAGUUCGGAUAAGAGGCUGAAACUCGCCUCUUUGAAGCCGGAAUCGCUAGUAAUCGU
Molecule: ribosomal RNA, 555 nt
Filed under: uncultured bacterium
Lineage: Bacteria
Description: bacterial SSU rRNA
Rfam family: Bacterial small subunit ribosomal RNA
Source: RNAcentral